GACGAACGCUGGCGGCGUGCUUAACACAUGCAAGUCGAACGAAGAGCGAUGGAUGCUUGCUUCUAUCCAUCUUAGUGGCGAACGGGUGAGUCACGCGUAAUCAACCUUCCCUUCUGAGGGGGACUACAGUUGGAAACGACUGCUAAUACCGCAUACGACCUAAUCUCGGCGUCGAGGAUAGAUGUAAGGUGGCCUCUACAUGUCUGCUAUCACUGCAGGUGGGGAUUGCGUUUGGUUAGCUAGUGGGUGGGGUAACGGCCCACCGAGGCGAUGAUCAGUAGCCGGACGGAGAGGAUGGGCAGCCAGAUUGGGAGUGAGACACGGCCCAUACUGCUACGGGAAGCAGCAGUGGUGAAUCGUCCGCAAUGGACGGAAGUCUGACGGAGCAACGCCGCGUGAGGGAGGACGGCCGUCGGGUGGUAAAGCUCUGUUAAUCGGGACGAAAGGCCUUCUGGCGAAUAGUGAGAAGGAUUGACGGUACCGGAAUAGAAAGCCACGGCUAACUACGUG
Molecule: ribosomal RNA, 510 nt
Filed under: uncultured bacterium
Lineage: Bacteria
Description: partial 16S ribosomal RNA
Rfam family: Bacterial small subunit ribosomal RNA
Source: RNAcentral